GUCGAGCGGCGGACGGGUGAGUAAUGCCUAGGAAAUUGCCCUGAUGUGGGGGAUAACCAUUGGAAACGAUGGCUAAUACCGCAUGAUGCCUACGGGCCAAAGAGGGGGACCUUCGGGCCUCUCGCGUCAGGAUAUGCCUAGGUGGGAUUAGCUAGUUGGUGAGGUAAGGGCUCACCAAGGCGACGAUCCCUAGCUGGUCUGAGAGGAUGAUCAGCCACACUGGAACUGAGACACGGUCCAGACUCCUACGGGAGGCAGCAGUGGGGAAUAUUGCACAAUGGGCGCAAGCCUGAUGCAGCCAUGCCGCGUGUGUGAAGAAGGCCUUCGGGUUGUAAAGCACUUUCAGUCGUGAGGAAGGUAGUGUAGUUAAUAGCUGCAUUAUUUGACGUUAGCGACAGAAGAAGCACCGGCUAACUCCGUGCCAGCAGCCGCGGUAAUACGGAGGGUGCGAGCGUUAAUCGGAAUUACUGGGCGUAAAGCGCAUGCAGGUGGUUUGUUAAGUCAGAUGUGAAAGCCCGGGGCUCAACCUCGGAAUAGCAUUUGAAACUGGCAGACUAGAGUACUGUAGAGGGGGGUAGAAUUUCAGGUGUAGCGGUGAAAUGCGUAGAGAUCUGAAGGAAUACCGGUGGCGAAGGCGGCCCCCUGGACAGAUACUGACACUCAGAUGCGAAAGCGUGGGGAGCAAACAGGAUUAGAUACCCUGGUAGUCCACGCCGUAAACGAUGUCUACUUGGAGGUUGUGGCCUUGAGCCGUGGCUUUCGGAGCUAACGCGUUAAGUAGACCGCCUGGGGAGUACGGUCGCAAGAUUAAAACUCAAAUGAAUUGACGGGGGCCCGCACAAGCGGUGGAGCAUGUGGUUUAAUUCGAUGCAACGCGAAGAACCUUACCUACUCUUGACAUCCAGAGAACUUUCCAGAGAUGGAUUGGUGCCUUCGGGAACUCUGAGACAGGUGCUGCAUGGCUGUCGUCAGCUCGUGUUGUGAAAUGUUGGGUUAAGUCCCGCAACGAGCGCAACCCUUAUCCUUGUUUGCCAGCGAGUAAUGUCGGGAACUCCAGGGAGACUGCCGGUGAUAAACCGGAGGAAGGUGGGGACGACGUCAAGUCAUCAUGGCCCUUACGAGUAGGGCUACACACGUGCUACAAUGGCGCAUACAGAGGGCGGCCAACUUGCGAAAGUGAGCGAAUCCCAAAAAGUGCGUCGUAGUCCGGAUUGGAGUCUGCAACUCGACUCCAUGAAGUCGGAAUCGCUAGUAAUCGUGGAUCAGAAUGCCACGGUGAAUACGUUCCCGGGCCUUGUACACACCGCCCGUCACACCAUGGGAGUGGGCUGCAAAAGAAGUAGGUAG
Molecule: ribosomal RNA, 1347 nt
Filed under: Vibrio alginolyticus
Lineage: Bacteria; Pseudomonadati; Pseudomonadota; Gammaproteobacteria; Vibrionales; Vibrionaceae
Description: 16S ribosomal RNA
Rfam family: Bacterial small subunit ribosomal RNA
Source: RNAcentral